Molecule: ribosomal RNA, 301 nt
Filed under: uncultured bacterium
Lineage: Bacteria
Description: partial 16S ribosomal RNA
Rfam family: Bacterial small subunit ribosomal RNA
Source: RNAcentral
CAGUAGCCGCGGGAAUACGGAGGGAGCUAGCGUUGUUCGGAAUUACUGGGCGUAAAGCGCGCGUAGGUGGUUCGCCAAGUUGGAUGUGAAAUCCCCGGGCUCAACCUGGGAACUGCAUCCAAAACUGGCGAGCUAGAGUAUGGUAGAGGGUGGUGGAAUUUCCUGUGUAGCGGUGAAAUGCGUAGAUAUAGGAAGGAACAUCAGUGGCGAAGGCGACCACCUGGACUGAUACUGACACUGAGGUGCGAGAGCGUGGGGAGCAAACAGGAUUAGAUACCCCCGUAGUCCCUGUCUCUUAUAC